CCAGGCUCAUCCUCUUCAGCCAGAGCCACGCUGCCGCCCAGCGAGGCCGGGUCUGGUGCCAGCGGCUCCACAUCCUGUGUUCCAGGCUCACCGUCCACCUCCUCCUCAGCCGUGGGGUCCUUCCAGAAGUCAUUGUCGUCAAAGCGCUCAGUCGGGGCGAAGCCGGUCCAGGCAAGCGACUGCUCCUCGCAGGGGGUGCUGCCCCCCGAGCCACGCGCCAGCCCUGCCGGAGGCUCCCACUGCGUGGUGCCGGUGGGGAUGUGCCAAUAAUAGGUGCCCGAGGUGUCCUGCACCCGCAUCCAUCCCGCAGGCAGGUCUGAGUCUGUCUCAAAGGAGUUGCGGGUCCAGAAGGAAUCUGCAUCAUCGGGAGAGCUGCCGGCCGGGCUGCCCUGGCUGAGCGUGGCCCAGCUGGAGUCCUCGUCGCUGGCCGUGCCGCUGCGGGGCCCGAAGAGGCGGCUGGCACUACGGCCGGGCUCCCGCAGCGCUCUCUCCCCGCUGGGCUCCGACUCUCCCGUGGUCGGGUCGCUCUGCACCGGCGUGGAAUCGCCGUCCUCGUCCUCGUCCUCUUCUUCCUCCUCCUCCUCCUCCUCGUCCUCGAUCAGCGGCGCUCCCCCCGCCGCGGCGUUGCGGGCGUUGCGGGCGCUCAGUUCCGACUGCUCGGGGGGCGGCCGCACUUCGUUGCGGUUCUGAUCGCGUUCGGCCGCGCGGCGCUGCAGGUUCUGCCCGUCCUUCAGCCAUUUGGUGCUCGGGGGCUCCUCGGGGGGGGGCAGCGCCUCGGGGGGCCGCGCAGCGCCAGGCUCAGCCCCGCCGGGCCCAGGCAGCUGUUGUCGUUGGCCACAUCGCUGCGUUUGCUCAGCGACCCCGACAUGGUGGGGCCUUCGCGCUGCGGCUCCUACAGCCCCCGCGGCGCCGGCAGCUCCGCGUCCAUGGGGCCUGCGGCGGCUCCGCUGCCGGGGGGGUGCGGGGG
This 967-nucleotide long non-coding RNA is filed under the name Gallus gallus (chicken). Lineage: Eukaryota; Metazoa; Chordata; Aves; Galliformes; Phasianidae. The record is from RNAcentral.